Molecule: ribosomal RNA, 466 nt
Filed under: uncultured bacterium
Lineage: Bacteria
Description: partial 16S ribosomal RNA
Rfam family: Bacterial small subunit ribosomal RNA
Source: RNAcentral
GACGAACGCUGGCGGUGUGCUUAACACAUGCAAGUCGAACGGUAAGGCCCUUUCGGGGGUACACGAGUGGCGAACGGGUGAGUAACACGUGAGUAACCUGCCCUCAUCUCUGGGAUAACAGUCGGAAACGGUUGCUAAUACUGGAUAUGAGCUUGCAAGGCAUCUUGUGGGUUGGAAAGAUUUUUUUGGUUGGGGAUGUACUCGCGGCCUAUCAGCUUGUUGGUGAGGUAGUGGCUCACCAAGGCUUCGACGGGUAGCCGGCCUGAGAGGGCGACCGGCCACAUUGGGACUGAGAUACGGCCCAAACUCCUACGGGAGGCAGCAGUGGGGAAUAUUGCACAAUGGACGGAAGGCGGAUGCAGCAACGCCGCGGGCGGGAUGACGGCCUUAGGGUUGUAAACCGCUUUCAAUUGUGACGAAGCUUUUUGUGACGGUAGCAGUAGAAGAAGCACCGGCUAACUACGUG